AACGAACGCUGGCGGCAGCCCUUACACAUGCAAGUCGAGCGCGCCUUCGGGUGAGCGGCGGACGGGUUAGUAACGCGUGGGAACGUGCCCUUCUCUACGGAAUAGCCUCUGGAAACGGAGAGUAAUACCGUAUACGCCCUUUGGGGGAAAGAUUUAUCGGAGAAGGAUCGGCCCGCGUUAGAUUAGGUAGUUGGUGGGGUAACGGCCUACCAAGCCUACGAUCUAUAGCUGGUUUUAGAGGAUGAUCAGCAACACUGGGACUGAGACACGGCCCAGACUCCUACGGGAGGCAGCAGUGGGGAAUCUUAGACAAUGGGGGCAACCCUGAUCUAGCCAUGCCGCGUGAGUGAUGAAGGCCUUAGGGUCGUAAAGCUCUUUCGCCUGUGAUGAUAAUGACAGUAGCAGGUAAAGAAACCCCGGCUAACUCCGUG
This 431-nucleotide ribosomal RNA is filed under the name uncultured bacterium. Its description in RNAcentral is "bacterial SSU rRNA". It matches the Rfam family "Bacterial small subunit ribosomal RNA", at positions 29 to 507 of the family's 1533-position model. The record is from RNAcentral.